This 31-nucleotide ribosomal RNA is filed under the name Stromatinia rapulum. RNAcentral describes it as "partial 28S ribosomal RNA". Lineage: Eukaryota; Fungi; Ascomycota; Leotiomycetes; Helotiales; Sclerotiniaceae. The record is from RNAcentral.
AUGGUUGACCUCGGAUCAGGUAGGGUUACCC